AUACGUAGGUGACAAGCGUUAUCCGGAUUUACUGGGCGUAAAGAGCUCGUAGGUGGUUUGUCGCGUCGUCUGUGAAAUUCCGGGGCUUAACUCCGGGCGUGCAGGCGAUACGGGCAUAACUUGAGUACUGUAGGGGAGACUGGAAUUCCUGGUGUAGCGGUGAAAUGCGCAGAUAUCAGGAGGAACACCGGUGGCGAAGGCGGGUCUCUGGGCAGUAACUGACGCUGAGGAGCGAAAGCAUGGGUAGCGAACAGGAUUAGAUACCCUGGUAGUCCAUGCCGUAAACGGUGGGCGCUAGGUGUAGGGGUCUUCCACGACUUCUGUGCCGUAGCUAACGCAUUAAGCGCCCCGCCUGGGGAGUACGGCCGCAAGGCUAAAACUCAAAGGAAUUGACGGGG
RNAcentral lists this ribosomal RNA (398 nucleotides) under uncultured bacterium. Its description in RNAcentral is "partial 16S ribosomal RNA". It matches the Rfam family "Bacterial small subunit ribosomal RNA", at positions 523 to 918 of the family's 1533-position model. The record is from RNAcentral.